This 392-nucleotide ribosomal RNA is filed under the name uncultured soil bacterium. RNAcentral's name for it is "bacterial SSU rRNA". It matches the Rfam family "Bacterial small subunit ribosomal RNA", at positions 26 to 424 of the family's 1533-position model. The record is from RNAcentral.
AGAUUGAACGCUGGCGGCAUGCCUUACGCAUGCAAGUCGAACGGCAGCACGGGAGCAAUCCUGGUGGCGAGUGGCUAACGGGUGAGUAAUACAUCGGAACGUGCCCAAUCGUGGGGGAUAACGCAGCGAAAGCUGUGCUAAUACCGCAUACGCCCUACGGGGGGAAAGGGGGGAUUCUUCGGAACCUCUCACUAUUGGAGCGGCCGAUAUCAGAUUAGCUAGUUGGUGAGGUAAAGGCUCACCAAGGCGACGAUCUGUAGCUGGUUUGAGAGGACGACCAGCCACACUGGGACUGAGACACGGCCCAGACUCCGAGGGAGCAGCAGUGGGAUUUGGACAAGUGGGGAAACCUGAUCCAGCCAUCCCGCGUGUGCGAUGAAGGUCCGUUGGUU